RNAcentral lists this ribosomal RNA (508 nucleotides) under uncultured bacterium. RNAcentral's name for it is "bacterial SSU rRNA". It matches the Rfam family "Bacterial small subunit ribosomal RNA", at positions 791 to 1301 of the family's 1533-position model. The record is from RNAcentral.
UAGUCCAUGUUGUAAACGAUGAUCACUGGAUGUUUAGCCUUUAUGGUUGAGUGUCUAAGCGAAAGCGUUAAGUGAUCCACCUGGGGAAUACGGUCGCAAGACUGAAACUCAAAGGAAUUGACGGGGUCCGCACAAGCGGUGGAGCAUGUAGGUUUAAUUCGAUUAUACGCGAGGAACCUUUACCCGGGCUCGAACUCAUAAUGAUGUAUACAGAAAUGUAUAGUUCGCAAGACAUUAUGAGAGGUGUUGCAUGGCUGUCGUCAGCUCGUGCCGUGAGGUGUUUGGUUAAGUCCAUUAACGAGCGCAACCCCUAUACUUAGUUGCCAGCACGUCAAGGUGGGGACUCUAAGUAGACUGCCUGCGUAAGCAAGGAGGAAGGUGGGACGAGGUCAAGUCAUCAUGGCCCUUACGCCCGGGGCAACACACGUGCUACAAUUGGCUAAACAAUGGGAAGCAAUCUGGUAACAGUGAGCCAAUCCUUUAAAAUGAGUCAUAAAGUUCGGAAUUG